CCAAUAGCGUAUAUUAAAGUUGUUGCAGUUAAAAAGCUCGUAGUUGAAUUUCGGGAUUAGUAAGUUGGUCGUGCCUCUGGUAUGUACUGGCUUUACUGGUUCCUCCUUCUUGAAGAACUGUAAUGUCAUUAAUUUAGUGUUGCAGGGAAACAGGACUGUUACUUUGAAAAAAUUAGAGUGUUUAAAGCAGGCUAACGCCUGAAUACAUUAGCAUGGAAUAAUGAAAUAGGACGUUUGAUCCUAUUUUGUUGGUUUCUAGGAUUGACGUAAUGAUUAAUAGGGAUAGUUGGGGGCAUUAGUAUUCAAUUGUCAGAGGUGAAAUUCUUGGAUUUAUUGAAGACUAACUACUGCGAAAGCAUUUGCCAAGGAUGUUUUCAUUAAUCAAGAACGAAAGUUAGGGGAUCGAAGACGAUCAGAUACCGUCGUAGUCUUAACCAUAAACUAUGCCGACUAGGGAUCGGAUGAUGUUAAUUUUUUAAUGACUCAUUCGGCGCCUUACG
Molecule: ribosomal RNA, 500 nt
Filed under: uncultured Glomeromycotina
Lineage: Eukaryota; Fungi; Glomeromycota
Description: partial small subunit ribosomal RNA
Rfam family: Eukaryotic small subunit ribosomal RNA
Source: RNAcentral